AUCCCUCCCGUUUCAUUGCAUAGAAUCCAGAUGGGAGAGAUUUAAACUCUCCUCCCUAUCAAUGAACAUUACUCUUGAUCCAAAUUGAGGUUGCACAAACUUACUUUUGAGUUGUAAAAAAGGAUUUUAAGCUGCAUAACAUGUGCUUAACAUAUUGUGUUCUCUGAGGUGUACGACGUUAUCCCAUAGGCAGGAGGGAAGGGGGAGUAAAGAAAAGUGGGGGAAAGCAUCCUUAAUAGUGAGGACACAAUCUACCCUGGCAAGAUCCAUCUUCAGGGGUAGCCAGUUACCCCACAAUGUUUCCUAUCUUCCUCCAUUUCCUGCUGCUGUCUUCUAUCAGAAUUCAGAGGAACACCUGACAACUGACUUUUCUCUUCUUUUUUUUUUCAUGCUGGUGGCACAGAUUUCAAUGCACAGUCACUGGACUCCAACAUUGGACUCCAUUGCAACAGCGUAUGAAGAUGACGCUUUGGUAUGGAAGGUGGAUUUGAAGCAGAGAGGAAAUCUGAGAAAUUGCUCUGAGGGCAGCAAAAGGCAGCUUAAUCAACUGCUCUUCGAAUCUAUAGCAAAGAAACUCUCUCCAAUGCCAAAGAGGUGUUAA
This 601-nucleotide long non-coding RNA is filed under the name Anolis carolinensis (green anole). Its description in RNAcentral is "lncRNA (ENSACAG00000032992.2)". The record is from RNAcentral. Lineage: Eukaryota; Metazoa; Chordata; Lepidosauria; Squamata; Anolidae.